GAGUUUGAUCCUGGCUCAGAACGAACGCUGGCGGCGUGCCUAACACAUGCAAGUCGAACGUGAUUGGAAGCUUGCUUCCAUGAAAGUGGCGCACGGGUGAGUAACGCGUAGAUAAUCUACCUGAUGAUCCGGGAUAACACUUCGAAAGGGGUGCUAAUACCUGAUAAGCCCACGGGGUCUUCGGACUCUGCGGGAAAAGGGGGGGACCUUUAUCGGCCUUCCGUCAUCARAUGAGUCUGCGUACCAUUAGCUAGUUGGUAGGGUAAAGGCCUACCAAGGCGACGAUGGUUAGCUGGUCUGAGAGGAUGAUCAGCCACACUGGAACUGARACACGGUCCAGACUCCUACGGGAGGCAGCAGUGGGGAAUUUUGCGCAAUGGGGGAAACCCUGACGCAGCAACGCCGCGUGAGUGAUGAAGGCCCUUGGGUCGUAAAGCUCUGACGGAGGGAGAGAAGUGUAGAGUGGCUAAUAUCCACAUUACUUGACGGUACCCUCAAAGGAAGCACCGGCUAACUCCGUGCCAGCAGCCGCGGUAAUAC
Molecule: ribosomal RNA, 540 nt
Filed under: uncultured Geobacteraceae bacterium
Lineage: Bacteria; Pseudomonadati; Thermodesulfobacteriota; Desulfuromonadia; Geobacterales; Geobacteraceae
Description: bacterial SSU rRNA
Rfam family: Bacterial small subunit ribosomal RNA
Source: RNAcentral